This 253-nucleotide ribosomal RNA is filed under the name uncultured bacterium. Its description in RNAcentral is "partial 16S ribosomal RNA". It matches the Rfam family "Bacterial small subunit ribosomal RNA", at positions 524 to 776 of the family's 1533-position model. The record is from RNAcentral.
UACGUAGGGUGCGAGCGUUAAUCGGAAUUACUGGGCGUAAAGCGUGCGCAGGCGGUUUUGUAAGCCAGAUGUGAAAGCCCCGGGUUUAACCUGGGAAUGGCAUUUGGGACUGCAAGGCUGGAGUUUGGCAGAGGAGACUGGAAUUCCUGGUGUAGCAGUGAAAUGCGUAGAUAUCAGGGGGAAUACCGAUGGCGAAGGCAGGUCUCUGGGCUAUAACUGACGCUCAUGCACGAAAGCGUGGGGAGCAAACAGG